RNAcentral lists this ribosomal RNA (496 nucleotides) under uncultured bacterium. RNAcentral describes it as "partial 16S ribosomal RNA". It matches the Rfam family "Bacterial small subunit ribosomal RNA", at positions 28 to 507 of the family's 1533-position model. The record is from RNAcentral.
GAUGAACGCUGGCGGCGUGCCUAAUACAUGCAAGUCGAGCGAACAGACGAGGAGCUUGCUCCUUUGACGUUAGCGGCGGACGGGUGAGUAACACGUGGAUAACCUACCUAUAAGACUGGGAUAACUUCGGGAAACCGGAGCUAAUACCGGAUAACAUGUUGAACCGCAUGGUUCAACAGUGAAAGACGGUCUUGCUGUCACUUAUAGAUGGAUCCGCGCCGCAUUAGCUAGUUGGUAAGGUAACGGCUUACCAAGGCAACGAUGCGUAGCCGACCUGAGAGGGGGACCGGCCACCUUGAAACUGAGACCGGGUCCAGCUUCUGACGGGAGGCAGAGGUGGGGAAUCUUCCGCAAUGGGCGAAAGCCUGCCGGAGCAACGCGGCGGGGGUGAAGAAGGUCUUCGGUUCGUAAAACCUUGUUAUUAGGAAAGAACAAAGGUGUAGGUAACGAUGCCGGUCUGGAGGGAACCUAUCAGAAAGCCACGGCUAACUACGUG